RNAcentral lists this ribosomal RNA (273 nucleotides) under uncultured bacterium. RNAcentral describes it as "partial 16S ribosomal RNA". It matches the Rfam family "Bacterial small subunit ribosomal RNA", at positions 524 to 796 of the family's 1533-position model. The record is from RNAcentral.
UACGGAGGGCGCAAGCGUUAUUCGGAAUUACUGGGCGUAAAGAGCUCGUAGGCGGUUUGUCGCGUCUGCCGUGAAAGUCCGGGGCUCAACUCCGGAUCUGCGGUGGGUACGGGCAGACUAGAGUGAUGUAGGGGAGACUGGAAUUCCUGGUGUAGCGGUGAAAUGCGCAGAUAUCAGGAGGAACACCGAUGGCGAAGGCAGGUCUCUGGGCAUUAACUGACGCUGAGGAGCGAAAGCAUGGGGAGCGAACAGGAUUAGAUACCCUUGUAGUCC